UACGUAGGGGGCAAGCGUUAUCCGGAUUUACUGGGUGUAAAGGGAGCGUAGACGGCUUUGCAAGCCAGAUGUGAAAGCCCGGGGCUCAACCCCGGGACUGCAUUUGGAACUGUGUGGCUAGAGUGUCGGAGAGGCAGGCGGAAUUCCUAGUGUAGCGGUGAAACGCGUAGAUAUUAGGAGGAACACCAGUGGCGAAGGCGGCCUGCUGGACGAUGACUGACGUUGAGGCUCGAAAGCGUGGGGAGCAAACAGG
This 253-nucleotide ribosomal RNA is filed under the name uncultured bacterium. RNAcentral's name for it is "partial 16S ribosomal RNA". It matches the Rfam family "Bacterial small subunit ribosomal RNA", at positions 524 to 776 of the family's 1533-position model. The record is from RNAcentral.